Molecule: transfer RNA, 72 nt
Filed under: Diaphorina citri (Asian citrus psyllid)
Lineage: Eukaryota; Metazoa; Arthropoda; Insecta; Hemiptera; Psyllidae
Rfam family: tRNA
About the family: Transfer RNA (tRNA) molecules are approximately 80 nucleotides in length.
Source: Rfam by way of RNAcentral
AGCUCGGUGGUAUAGCAGUCAAGACGCUUGUCUGGUAAAUAGGUGGUCACGGGUUCAAUCCCAACCAAGCUG